This 198-nucleotide ribosomal RNA is filed under the name uncultured bacterium. RNAcentral's name for it is "partial 16S ribosomal RNA". It matches the Rfam family "Bacterial small subunit ribosomal RNA", at positions 328 to 539 of the family's 1533-position model. The record is from RNAcentral.
ACGCUCGACACCUACGGGAGGUAGCAGUGGGGAAUAUUGCACAAUGGGGGAAACCCUGAUGCAGCGACGCCGCGUGAGCGAAGAAGUAUUUCGGUAUGUAAAGCUCUAUCAGCAGGGAAGAAAGUGACGGUACCUGACUAAGAAGCACCGGCUAAAUACGUGCCAGAAGCCGCGGUAAUCUGAGCGGGCUGGCAAGGC